UACGUAGGGUGCAAGCGUUAAUCGGAAUUACUGGGCGUAAAGCGUGCGCAGGCGGUUUUGUAAGUCUGAUGUGAAAUCCCUGGGCUCAACCUGGGAAUUGCAUUGGAGACUGCAAGGCUAGAAUCUGGCAGAGGGGGGUAGAAUUCCACGUGUAGCAGUGAAAUGCGUAGAGAUGUGGAGGAACACCGAUGGCGAAGGCAGCCCCCUGGGUCAAGAUUGACGCUCAUGCACGAAAGCGUGGGGAGCAAACAGG
This 253-nucleotide ribosomal RNA is filed under the name uncultured bacterium. Its description in RNAcentral is "partial 16S ribosomal RNA". It matches the Rfam family "Bacterial small subunit ribosomal RNA", at positions 524 to 776 of the family's 1533-position model. The record is from RNAcentral.